This 1291-nucleotide ribosomal RNA is filed under the name metagenome. RNAcentral's name for it is "bacterial LSU rRNA". It matches the Rfam family "Bacterial large subunit ribosomal RNA", at positions 1536 to 2845 of the family's 2925-position model. The record is from RNAcentral.
CCAAAAGGCUAGAGCGUGACAGGUAAGCGAAAUCUAAGGAAAGUAGCGAAGCACAUGAUGACGGCUUCCAGGAAAAGCUUCUGGCAAUGCAUAUGCGGCCCGUACCAAAACCGUCACAGGUGGGCAGGGAGAGAAUCCCGAGGUGAGCGAGAGAACUGUUGCCAAGGAACUCGGCAAAAUGACUCCGUAAGUUAGCGAGAAGGAGUGCUUAAGCAAUUAAGCCGCAGUGAAGAGGCCCAAGCGACUGUUUAACUAAAACACAGCUCUCUGCGAAGUCGCAAGACGAAGUAUAGGGGGUGACACCUGCCCGGUGCUGGAAGGUUAAGAGGAUCUGUUAAGAGCGAUCUGAAGCAGUGAUCCGAAGCCCCAGUGAACGGCGGCCGUAACAAUAACGGUCCUAAGGUAGCGAAAUUCCUUGUCAGGUAAGAUCUGACCCGCACGAAAGGUGUAACGAUUUGGGCGCUGUCUCGGCAGCAGACUCGGUGAAAUUUUAGUACCUGUGAAAAUGCAGGUUACCCGCAACUAGACGGAAAGACCCCAUGGAGCUUUACUGCAGCCUGAUAUUGAAUUCUGGUCAUACAUGUACAGGAUAGGUGGGAGACAAAGAGACGUGCACGCCAGUGUACGAGGAGUCGACGUUGGGAUACCACUCUUGUGUGACCGGGGUUCUAACCUGGUAUCGAGAACAGGUACGGGGAGAGUGUCAGGUGGGCAGUUUGACUGGGGCGGUCGCCUCCCAAAGAGUAACGGAGGCGCCCAAAGGUACGCUCAGAUUGGAUGGAAACCAAUCGUCGAGUGCAAUUGCAGAAGCGUGCUUGGCUGUGAGACAAACAAGUCGAACAGGGACGAAAGUCGGGAAUAGUGAUCCGGCGGUGCCGAAUGGAAGGGCCGUCGCUCAACGGAUAAAAGCUACCCUGGGGAUAACAGGCUGAUCUCGCCCAAGAGUUCACAUCGACGGCGAGGUUUGGCGCCUCGAUGUCGGCUCAUCGCAUCCUGGAGCUGGAUUCGGUUCCAAGGGUUGGGCUGUCCGCCCAUUAAAGCGGUACGCGAGCUGGGUUCAGAACGUCGUGAGACAGUUCGGUCCCUAUCUGUUGUGGGCGAAGGAGAUCUGCGGAGAGCUGUCCUCAGUACGAGAGGACCGGGAUGGACCUACCGCUGGUGCACCGGUUGUUCCGCCAGGGGCAUAGCCGGGUAGCUAAGUAGGGAAAGGAUAAGCGCUGAAAGCAUCUAAGCACGAAGCCUACUCCAAGAUGAGAUCUCCCAUUCGCAAGAAGUAAGACCCCUUAAAGAC